GAAAGGCCUAAUUUAGCCUAACGGCAGACAUAUUUAAAAAGUGUGGUUCUUAUAUUAAAACGUUGCUUUUGGUUUUCUUUAGCCUUCCCAGGCAGUAGCUGAAUAAGUUCAUUAGCUGAAGGCCAAUGCAACUCAGCUGUGACUACUGAUCAACAUGUUACAUUCUAACAAUCCGUUGAAGUUAGUGGCACCUGAGCAUUGCAUGCUGGGAGAAAUUUUUAAAAGAAUGAAGAUUCUAUCAGCGGCAGUUAAAGCAGUUAAGCUCAGCCCUCACACUGAGGUGGUUGAAAAAAGCUCUCUCAGUAUAGAUAGGUGUGUAGUUAUGUCAGAACAGAUUGUUUACUGUUCAGCUAGAACUUGAAAUGCGAAACAAAUGAAGUUACUUAGUUUAGCGUGCAUGGUAACAAACUCAAGCUUCAGAUACAUUAUUUUGCUUUUGAUUGUUUCUUGAGGAAUAUUUUACCUGUCAAUAAAUGAAAGAUUUUUUAAAAAA
Long non-coding RNA from Sphaerodactylus townsendi, 493 nucleotides. RefSeq lists it as uncharacterized. The transcript has 2 exons. Lineage: Eukaryota; Metazoa; Chordata; Lepidosauria; Squamata; Sphaerodactylidae. The record is from RefSeq and is a predicted model, not a curated record.